This is a long non-coding RNA of Mastomys coucha (southern multimammate mouse), 1047 nucleotides long. RefSeq lists it as uncharacterized. The record is from RefSeq and is a predicted model, not a curated record. Lineage: Eukaryota; Metazoa; Chordata; Mammalia; Rodentia; Muridae. The transcript is spliced from 4 exons.
ACAGCGCGGGCCCGCGAGCACCGGGAAGUAACGACGACAGCACGUGCACGCUGUAGGCGGGAGGCGGAGCGGCUUCGUCUGAGCUGCGGAGCUCGGGCAGCCCCGGGAAGUCGCCGAGCAGGGCGGCCGGUACCUCAGCGCCCGGCGGGGGACUGAGCGCACGCAGCAGCGGUUCCCCCGGCUCGGUGGCGCCCAGGGAAUUUAUGGAAGCCCAGCUACUUUUCAGCUGAAAUCUCAACAGAGAGAGGCAAACUGAAGCUUCAUUUCUCUCGGCAGCUCAGACUCCUUCCCCAACUCUGGGCAAACAGCUUUCUGUCUAUUUGGUAGAGAGCUUGCCUAUCAACAGAGCUCAGGAACAAGACUGCCACCCAGUGUGAGUGGGAACCCCAGGAAGUCCGGCAGUAGGCUAAUCAUGUCAGAACAAAUGAAGCUAUGUGAGCUGAGACUGUGUGAGCUGCGUGACUUCAGUUGCAUAAAUAGAUACCACAUAUGGCAAUACUCAAGGAACAUAAGUUACAAGGAACCAAGACUCAAAUGCCUUUAACUUCCCACGUGGUAUCAACACCAAUGAAAAACAUGCCGCUGCGGUUUGAAUGUAUUUGGUCACAGAGAGAGAAACGUAAUUGAUACAGGAUUAAACAAAUCCUGCGGAGUUCAAGUGGGCCUGGGUUGAGUUUCCCAAAGCAGCUUCCACAUUCAGACAGGUAACAAUGGUGUGACUCACCUCCCAUAGAUGGCCCACAAUGGGCGCGUCCGCCCAGGAGUGCUCUGCGUUUAUGCCUAUCUUGCUGUUUUUGAAGAUGACAAAGGUGAUGGACUUGUCAAACCACCUAUAGGGAGACAACAUGAUCAUGGGCUUCCAGGGCUAUAUCAACACGGGAACCCGAAAGUUACAUGGGUGUUUCUUUCUGCAGGCACCAAUGACUUCUCCCCACCCCUGACAGUUCUCCAGGUCUUUCCACCCCAGGAAGGUGACUCAAGGGGACACACAGAACAGAGUCAUUCAUAUCUUCUUGUAUCAGAGAUACAAUACAGCUUGUGUGUGAG